UUAAGCGACUAAGCGUACACGGUGGAUGCCCUGGCAGUCAGAGGCGAUGAAGGACGUGCUAAUCUGCGAUAAGCGUCGGUAAGGUGAUAUGAACCGUUAUAACCGGCGAUUUCCGAAUGGGGAAACCCAGUGUGAUUCGUCACACUAUCAUUAACUGAAUCCAUAGGUUAAUGAGGCGAACCGGGGGAACUGAAACAUCUAAGUACCCCGAGGAAAAGAAAUCAACCGAGAUUCCCCCAGUAGCGGCGAGCGAACGGGGAGCAGCCCAGAGCCUGAAUCAGUGUGUGUGUUAGUGGAAGCGUCUGGAAAGGCGCGCGAUACAGGGUGACAGCCCCGUACACAAAAAUGCACAUACUGUGAGCUCGAUGAGUAGGGCGGGACACGUGGUAUCCUGUCUGAAUAUGGGGGGACCAUCCUCCAAGGCUAAAUACUCCUGACUGACCGAUAGUGAACCAGUACCGUGAGGGAAAGGCGAAAAGAACCCCGGCGAGGGGAGUGAAAAAGAACCUGAAACCGUGUACGUACAAGCAGUGGGAGCACAGAGCAAUCUGUGUGACUGCGUACCUUUUGUAUAAUGGGUCAGCGACUUAUAUUCUGUAGCAAGGUUAACCGAAUAGGGGAGCCGAAGGGAAACCGAGUCUUAACUGGGCGUUAAGUUGCAGGGUAUAGACCCGAAACCCGGUGAUCUAGCCAUGGGCAGGUUGAAGGUUGGGUAACACUAACUGGAGGACCGAACCGACUAAUGUUGAAAAAUUAGCGGAUGACUUGUGGCUGGGGGUGAAAGGCCAAUCAAACCGGGAGAUAGCUGGUUCUCCCCGAAAGCUAUUUAGGUAGCGCCUCGUGAAUUCAUCUCCGGGGGUAGAGCACUGUUUCGGCAAGGGGGUCAUCCCGACUUACCAACCCGAUGCAAACUGCGAAUACCGGAGAAUGUUAUCACGGGAGACACACGGCGGGUGCUAACGUCCGUCGUGAAGAGGGAAACAACCCAGACCGCCAGCUAAGGUCCCAAAGUCAUGGUUAAGUGGGAAACGAUGUGGGAAGGCCCAGACAGCCAGGAUGUUGGCUUAGAAGCAGCCAUCAUUUAAAGAAAGCGUAAUAGCUCACUGGUCGAGUCGGCCUGCGCGGAAGAUGUAACGGGGCUAAACCAUGCACCGAAGCUGCGGCAGCGACGCUGAUGCGUUGUUGGGUAGGGGAGCGUUCUGUAAGCCUGCGAAGGUGUGCUGUGAGGCAUGCUGGAGGUAUCAGAAGUGCGAAUGCUGACAUAAGUAACGAUAAAGCGGGUGAAAAGCCCGCUCGCCGGAAGACCAAGGGUUCCUGUCCAACGUUAAUCGGGGCAGGGUGAGUCGACCCCUAAGGCGAGGCCGAAAGGCGUAGUCGAUGGGAAACAGGUUAAUAUUCCUGUACUUGGUGUUACUGCGAAGGGGGGACGGAGAAGGCUAUGUUGGCCGGGCGACGGUUGACCCGGUUUAAGCGUGUAGGCUGGUUUUCCAGGCAAAUCCGGAAAAUCAAGGCUGAGGCGUGAUGACGAGGCACUACGGUGCUGAAGCAACAAAUGCCCUGCUUCCAGGAAAAGCCUCUAAGCAUCAGGUAACAUCAAAUCGUACCCCAAACCGACACAGGUGGUCAGGUAGAGAAUACCAAGGCGCUUGAGAGAACUCGGGUGAAGGAACUAGGCAAAAUGGUGCCGUAACUUCGGGAGAAGGCACGCUGAUAUGUAGGUGAAGUCCCUCGCGGAUGGAGCUGAAAUCAGUCGAAGAUACCAGCUGGCUGCAACUGUUUAUUAAAAACACAGCACUGUGCAAACACGAAAGUGGACGUAUACGGUGUGACGCCUGCCCGGUGCCGGAAGGUUAAUUGAUGGGGUCAGCGCAAGCGAAGCUCUUGAUCGAAGCCCCGGUAAACGGCGGCCGUAACUAUAACGGUCCUAAGGUAGCGAAAUUCCUUGUCGGGUAAGUUCCGACCUGCACGAAUGGCGUAAUGAUGGCCAGGCUGUCUCCACCCGAGACUCAGUGAAAUUGAACUCGCUGUGAAGAUGCAGUGUACCCGCGGCAAGACGGAAAGACCCCGUGAACCUUUACUAUAGCUUGACACUGAACAUUGAGCCUUGAUGUGUAGGAUAGGUGGGAGGCUUUGAAGUGUGGACGCCAGUCUGCAUGGAGCCGACCUUGAAAUACCACCCUUUAAUGUUUGAUGUUCUAACGUUGACCCGUGAUCCGGGUUGCGGACAGUGUCUGGUGGGUAGUUUGACUGGGGCGGUCUCCUCCUAAAGAGUAACGGAGGAGCACGAAGGUUGGCUAAUCCUGGUCGGACAUCAGGAGGUUAGUGCAAUGGCAUAAGCCAGCUUGACUGCGAGCGUGACGGCGCGAGCAGGUGCGAAAGCAGGUCAUAGUGAUCCGGUGGUUCUGAAUGGAAGGGCCAUCGCUCAACGGAUAAAAGGUACUCCGGGGAUAACAGGCUGAUACCGCCCAAGAGUUCAUAUCGACGGCGGUGUUUGGCACCUCGAUGUCGGCUCAUCACAUCCUGGGGCUGAAGUAGGUCCCAAGGGUAUGGCUGUUCGCCAUUUAAAGUGGUACGCGAGCUGGGU
This 2584-nucleotide ribosomal RNA is filed under the name Escherichia coli. Its description in RNAcentral is "23S ribosomal RNA". It matches the Rfam family "Bacterial large subunit ribosomal RNA", at positions 1 to 2610 of the family's 2925-position model. Lineage: Bacteria; Pseudomonadati; Pseudomonadota; Gammaproteobacteria; Enterobacterales; Enterobacteriaceae. The record is from RNAcentral.